RNAcentral lists this non-coding RNA (96 nucleotides) under marine eukaryotic metagenome. The record is from RNAcentral.
GACUGAUGCAAAGUCGCCAGAUGCUCAAAUGGGCAUGGAAAAGGCCUUGACAUCUUUAGCCUGUGGUUUGGCUGGUGGAAAUAUGAUUUAUGAGUC